RNAcentral lists this ribosomal RNA (265 nucleotides) under uncultured bacterium. Its description in RNAcentral is "partial 16S ribosomal RNA". It matches the Rfam family "Bacterial small subunit ribosomal RNA", at positions 793 to 1055 of the family's 1533-position model. The record is from RNAcentral.
GUCCACGCCGUAAACGAUGCCGACUCGGUAUCCGGGGUCCGACAAGGACGCUGGGUGCCCCAGCUUACGCGGUAAGUCGGCCGCCUGGGGACUACGAGCGCAAGCUUAAAACUCAAAGGAAUUGACGGGGGCCCGCACAAGCAGCGGAGCGUGUGGUUUAAUUCGACGCAACGCGCAGAACCUUACCCAGACUGGACAUGCACCUGCAAGCCGCUGAAAGGUGGUCGCCUUUGAGGGUGGUGCACAGAUGCUGCAUGGCUGUCGU